RNAcentral lists this ribosomal RNA (544 nucleotides) under uncultured organism. RNAcentral's name for it is "bacterial SSU rRNA". It matches the Rfam family "Bacterial small subunit ribosomal RNA", at positions 119 to 663 of the family's 1533-position model. The record is from RNAcentral.
GGCUUCCUGCCCUUUACUCGGGGAUAGCCUUUCGAAAGAAAGAUUAAUACCCGAUAGUAUAAUGAUUCCGCAUGGUUUCAUUAUUAAAGGAUUCCGGUAAAGGAUGGGGAUGCGUUCCAUUAGGUUGUUGGUGAGGUAACGGCCCACCAAGCCUUCGAUGGAUAGGGGUUCUGAGAGGAAGGUCCCCCACAUUGGAACUGAGACACGGUCCAAACUCCUACGGGAGGCAGCAGUGAGGAAUAUUGGUCAAUGGGCGUUAGCCUGAACCAGCCAAGUAGCGUGAAGGAUGAAGGCUCUAUGGGUCGUAAACUUCUUUUAUAUAAGAAUAAAGUGCAGUAUGUAUACUGUUUUGUAUGUAUUAUAUGAAUAAGGAUCGGCUAACUCCGUGCCAGCAGCCGCGGUAAUACGGAGGAUCCGAGCGUUAUCCGGAUUUAUUGGGUUUAAAGGGAGCGUAGGUGGACUGGUAAGUCAGUUGUGAAAGUUUGCGGCUCAACCGUAAAAUUGCAGUUGAUACUGUCAGUCUUGAGUACAGUAGAGGUGGGCG